RNAcentral lists this ribosomal RNA (254 nucleotides) under uncultured bacterium. Its description in RNAcentral is "partial 16S ribosomal RNA". It matches the Rfam family "Bacterial small subunit ribosomal RNA", at positions 524 to 776 of the family's 1533-position model. The record is from RNAcentral.
CACGUAGGGUGCGAGCGUUGUCCGGAAUUAUUGGGCGUAAAGAGCUCGUAGGCGGUGUGUCGCGUCGGCCGUGAAAACCUGCAGCUUAACUGUGGGCUUGCGGUCGAUACGGGCAUCACUGGAGUUCGGCAGGGGAGACUGGAAUUCCUGGUGUAGCGGUGAAAUGCGCAGAUAUCAGGAGGAACACCGGUGGCGAAGGCGGGUCUCUGGGCCGAUACUGACGCUGAGGCACGAAAGCGUGGGGAGCAAACAGG